This 2109-nucleotide ribosomal RNA is filed under the name human gut metagenome. RNAcentral describes it as "bacterial LSU rRNA". It matches the Rfam family "Bacterial large subunit ribosomal RNA", at positions 826 to 2925 of the family's 2925-position model. The record is from RNAcentral.
AGGCCAAUCAAACCCGGAGAUAUCUCGUUCUCCCCGAAAUAGCUUUAGGGCUAGCGUCGCGCGUUCACCGCCGGAGGUAGAGCACCGGAUGGACGAGGGGGCUUCGCCGCCUACCGAAUCCAACCGAACUCCGAAUGCCGGCGGCCCAGAGCGCGGCAGUCAGAGCAUGUGGGCUAAGCUGUGUGCUCGAGAGGGAAACAGCCCGGACCGCCCGCUAAGGUCCCCAAGUUCCAGCCGAGUGGCAAAGGAUGUGCGUCCGCCCAGACAACCAGGAUGUUGGCUUAGAAGCAGCCAUCCAUUCAAAGAGUGCGUAACAGCUCACUGGUCGAGUGGACAUGCGCCGACAAUACACGGGGCUAAGCUGGACACCGAAGCGGCGGGAUUUUAAUUCAUUAGAAUCGGUAGGGGAGCUUCCCAUGGGCGGAGAAGCCGGAGGGCGACCGACGGUGGAGCGCAUGGGAGUGAGAAUGCUGGCAUGAGUAGCGAGAGACGAGAGAGUAACUCGUCCGCCGUGAACCCGAGGUUUCCUGGGCAAGGCUAAUCCUCCCAGGGUCAGUCGGGGGCUAAGGCGAGGCCGGUAGGCGUAGCCGACGCGCAGCAGGCAGACAUUCCUGCACCGCGCACGCGGCGCUACGACCGACGGGGCGACGGAUGGGGGUGGCUCGGCGGGGUUCUGGACGUCCCCGUGAUGGAGCGCGGCCCGCGGACCAGGGAAAUCCGGUCCGCACGAGGGCGAGGCUCCGGACGAAGCGAUUGAGCGAAGCGAGUGAGCCCGAGGUCCCUAGAAAAACCCCUAGGCAGGCGCGUGCGCGCCCGUACCGCAAACCGACACAGGUGGGUGGGUAGAACAUACCGAGGCGAUCGGGUCAACCAUGGUCAAGGAACUCGGCACAAUGGCCCCGUAACUUCGGGAGAAGGGGUGCCCGCGCGUACGUGAACCGGCUUGCCCGGGGAGCGGAGGCGGGCCGCAGUGGAGAGGCCCAAGCGACUGUUUACCAAAAACACAGGACUCUGCAGAAGCCGCAAGGCGACGUAUAGGGUCUGACGCCUGCCCGGUGCCGGAAGGUCACGCGGAGGAGUUAGCCGAUUCGGCGAAGCCCCGAAGCCAAGCCCCGGUAAACGGCGGCCGUAACUAUAACGGUCCUAAGGUAGCGAAAUUCCUUGUCGGGUAAGUUCCGACCUGCACGAAAGGCGCAACGACUUGGGCGCUGUCUCGACCAUGGACCCGGUGAAAUUGCACUGGUCGUGAAGAUGCGACUUACCCGCGGAAGGACGGAAAGACCCCGUGAACCUUCACUGCAGCUUGGCAUUGGCCGCUGGUCCCGCGUGUAGAGGAUAGGCAGGAGGCAUCGAUCCGGAGGCGCCAGCCCCCGGGGAGCCGCCCUUGGAAUACUGCCCUCGCGCGACCGGCGUCCUAACCCGAGGCCGUCAACCGGCUCGGGGACCGUGCCAGGCGGGCAGUUUGACUGGGGCGGUCGCCUCCUAAAGGGUAACGGAGGCGCGCGAAGGUCCGCUCGGGACGGUCGGCAACCGUCCUUUUGAAUGCAAGAGUACAAGCGGGCUUGACUGCGAGGCCCACAAGCCGAGCAGGUGCGAAAGCAGGCUCUAGUGAUCCGGCGGCCCCGAGUGGGUGGGCCGUCGCUCAACGGAUAAAAGGUACUCCGGGGAUAACAGGCUGAUCUUGCCCAAGAGUCCACAUCGACGGCAAGGUUUGGCACCUCGAUGUCGGCUCAUCGCAUCCUGGGGCUGGAGCAGGUCCCAAGGGUACGGCUGUUCGCCGUUUAAAGCGGUACGCGAGCUGGGUUCAGAACGUCGUGAGACAGUUCGGUCCCUAUCCUCCGUGGGCGCAGGAGAAUCGAUGGAGGCUGCCCCCAGUACGAGAGGACCGGGGUGGACGCACCUCCGGUGAACCGGUUGUCGACCAACGGCACGGCCGGGUAGCCGCGUGCGGCGCGGAUAACCGCUGAAGGCAUCUAAGCGGGAAGCCGUUCCAGGGAUUAGUUCUCCUUCCGGUAAGGGCCCAGGUAGACUACCUGGUCGAUAGACGGCAGGUGCAAGGCUGGCGACAGCCUCAGCCGAGCCGCACUAAUCGCCCGAGCUCUUCCGGAA